This 587-nucleotide ribosomal RNA is filed under the name uncultured bacterium. RNAcentral describes it as "bacterial SSU rRNA". It matches the Rfam family "Bacterial small subunit ribosomal RNA", at positions 337 to 916 of the family's 1533-position model. The record is from RNAcentral.
UCCUACGGGAGGCAGCAGUGGGGAAUAUUGGACAAUGGGCGAAAGCCUGAUCCAGCCAUGCCGCGUGUGUGAAGAAGGCUUUCGGGUUGUAAAGCACUUUCAGUGGGGAAGAAGGCUUGUCGGCCAAUACCCGGCAAGAGCGACAUCACCCACAGAAGAAGCACCGGCUAACUCCGUGCCAGCAGCCGCGGUAAUACGGAGGGUGCAAGCGUUAAUCGGAAUUACUGGGCGUAAAGCGCGCGUAGGCGGCUUGUCACGCCGGGUGUGAAAGCCCCGGGCUCAACCUGGGAACGGCAUCCGGAACGGGCAGGCUAGAGUGCAGGAGAGGAAGGUAGAAUUCCCGGUGUAGCGGUGAAAUGCGUAGAGAUCGGGAGGAAUACCAGUGGCGAAGGCGGCCUUCUGGACUGACACUGACGCUGAGGUGCGAAAGCGUGGGUAGCAAAUAGGAUUAGAUACCCUGGUAGUCCACGCCGUAAACGAUGUCGACUAGCCGUUGGGUCCCUUGAGGACUUAGUGGCGCAGUUAACGCGAUAAGUCGACCGCCUGGGGAGUACGGCCGCAAGGUUAAAACUCAAAUGAAUUGACGG